This is a long non-coding RNA of Cyprinus carpio carpio, 1816 nucleotides long. Lineage: Eukaryota; Metazoa; Chordata; Actinopteri; Cypriniformes; Cyprinidae. The record is from Ensembl.
CACACACAAAUACAUAAUAUACUUUAAAGUGUAAUUUAUUCCAGUGAUCAUAGCCGAAUUUUCAGCAUCAUUACUCCAGUCUUCAGUGUCACAUGAUCCUUCAGAAAUCAAUAUGCUGAUUUAUUAUCAAUGCUGAAAAAUGUUGUGCUGCUUAAUAUUUGUUUUAUAACCUGUGAUACAUUUUUCAGGAUUCGUUUAAUGAAUAAAAAGUCAAAAAUUACAGCAUUUAUUUAAAACAGAACUAUUUUGUAACAGUAUACACUACCGUUCAAAAGUUGGGGUCAGUAAUGUUUCCUUUAUUUUUUUUGAAAGAAAGUAAUACCUUUAUUCAGCAAAGAUGUGUUAAAUUUUGGAAAAGUGACCGUUAACACUUACAUUGUUAGAAAAGAUUUAUAUUUUGAAUAAAUGCUGUUCUUUUUAACUUUUUAUUGAUCAUUGAAUCCUGAAAAAGUAUCACACAAAACAAAUAAUAAUAUUAAGCAGCACAACUGUUUCCAAUACUGAUAAUAGCAGCAAAUCAUCAUAGAAUGAUUUCUGAAGGAUCAUGUGAAGACUGGAGUAAUGGUUGGUGAAAAUUCAGCUUUAAUCAUGGAAACAAUUAUAUUUUAAAGUAUAUUAAUUUAGAAAACUAUUAUUUUUAAUUGUAAUAUUACACAAUAUUACUGUGCUUUCUGUAUUUUUGAUCAAAUUGGCUUUAAGCAGUCUUGAUGAUAAGAGACUAGUAGGCCUAGUAAUCGGACCACCCUCUUCAUACAGGAUUACACUCCUACUGAUGUAGUGCCAUCAAAACCAUGGUGGAUUUGAACAUUUGACCCUUUAAAAGAGAAAUAAGAUACGGAUAUAAGCUUUUCAGACAUGUUUUAAGGAUGAAUGAAAAAACAACAGUAAAAGAGACUUACUCCAAAGCAAUGUUUGACUGUAAAGCCAUUUCUGCCUGGAACCUAUGAAAGCCCUCAGUCUUUUGCAGCAUUAACAGUGUUAGCUUUAAAAAAAGAAGAUACAAUUAUGAAAGAUAUAUGUACAGUGCAUUUAAUGAUAUUGUCCCAGGUACUGUAUCAAAGUGUCUGUAUAUAUACCUCAUAGAACGUAAGUUGUGUUGUCCAGGGAAACCCUAGGCAGCUGUGUUACCUUGUAUAUUCUUUCAAUUAUCCUCUCUGUCUGUAGCAAAACAUUUGUUAAAUUUGUACAUAAUAGCAUUCGUAAUUACAUUCAUAAUUCUCUAACUUUUCAGUGGAAAAUCUACAUUGACAGUAUACAUUCCAAUGAAAUAUGAGAUGUUAAAAUAACGUCUGAUAUAUACUUUCUUAUGCAUCUGUACAGUCUUGUGUUCUUAAGGUAUAACAUAAACUUAUUUUAAAUAUAUAAAUUGUUAAACAAGGCAAACAGUAUGAAAUAACUGUUCUUCCUCAAAAAAAAACACAAAACUUUUUGCUAAGUUUCAUCCUCAGCUUUGGAGAAAAUGUGGGAUGUUUAAAUAAAAACAUCCUGCUGGAUCGGAUUGUGCCGUUUCUCAAGCCUUCGUGCAAUCUCUGAAUUGUAACCAAAAUCAGACAAAUGUAAGACAUGUAAACUUUUCUAGCUAUAACAGAUUAUAUUGUUAUACAAUAUGUGAACACAUGAAAAACAUUACAAAAGUAAAAAGUCAGUGAGAGACUACCUCUUUGUAAAUAACAAUGCUAAAAAUGAUAGCUAGGAUAUUAGUAGUAAAAUGGUUUGCUUAGUAAUUUGUAAUAUUUACCAAGACUUCUUGAUCCUGUAUUACAAUGUCAACCAACCAGCCCUUCUUCAGUAGUGCCAAUGUUCUGUAAAAUCAAAG